UGUACUGUUUUCAUGAGAAAUUCUCCCUUUAGAAGAUUUUAGAAGUAACAUUUAGUAUUAAAUAUUUGUGUAGGUUCCUCAGCCCAGGAAUCUUUUUUUUUUAUUAUUUUUACUCAAUUAGGACCAGAUUCUGAUAUCUUUACUCAAGCUGAGUAGCACCUUGCUCCAUGGUAGCUGACUGGUCCUUGCCAUUAGAUACAGCAACUAUCAGGCUGCUCUAUCUUAAACCCUGCCGCCCAAAGGGAGCAUCUGGAAAUCUUCCAGAUGAAGCAACUCCCUAGAUCGGGCUGUUAGCUAGUCACAGCCUUCCUGUGCCAGAAAGGAGGGACAUAGGAACAGCUACUAUGCCCUAUACAAUCCUAAGAUUCUCCUACACAAGAAGAAUUAACCUUUUCCUGAUACUUUUUCACUGCCCAAAAGUAAAGCUGCUGUAGUGGGGAACAGAAUCUGGACCUCCAUCCAAUUUCAUCCCGUAAAGUCCUGUACACAAACUUGGUACAUAACCCAAGUUUGACUAGUUUCAGAGACGAUCGAAGAGAAAUAUGGCUGCCCUGCUAUCGUGCCACUUGGGCUAUGGAACUUGUGUGCCGGUAGGAGAACCCCCUUCAGGAUCACAGAUCUCCUUUGACCCUAUGCUGCUGUUCUCUGGGCAUCAAUGGAAGGAGAGUUUGAUUGGAGGGUGGAAGUUGAAGGCCCCUCUUCCUAAACUGGUGUCUGAUUACAUGAACAAGCAGUGUAGCCCAGCUGCAUUAAUAACCCACACUUUGCCAUAUGAUAAAAUCAAUGAAGGAUUCAAACUGCUGUGGGCAGGGAAAAGUAUUCACAGCAUCCUGUUGUUUUAAGCCCCUGAGCAAUGAGGAGUAGGGUGUGAGCAGCACAGCACUUCUCCUGCAGAAUCACCUGUCUGACUUUUUCCCCUUAGUCAAAACUUUUAUUAGUGUGUUGGUUUUACAAUAUUUGCUUCUAGAGCUGUGUAAAUUUGGCCUAUCUGAACCUGGAAACAUCUAAAUAGAUUGAGGAAUCAUUUUUGUUUUGGAUUAAGAAUUCAAACCUCCAUCCAUAGCUUUGAGGUGUGUGAAAGAGAGCAGAGCAUGUAGGAAGGAGGUUAUCCUGGAGAUGGGUCCACUUCCAAGUUAUUUGGAAUUCAACGAAAUUAACCAUUCCAUUAAGUAAUUGCACUAAGUCUUGUGGAACCUCUCCCA
Non-coding RNA from Caretta caretta (loggerhead turtle), 1202 nucleotides. NCBI's taxonomy places the organism in Eukaryota, Metazoa, Chordata, Testudines, Cheloniidae. The record is from RefSeq and is a predicted model, not a curated record.